Molecule: ribosomal RNA, 440 nt
Filed under: uncultured bacterium
Lineage: Bacteria
Description: partial 16S ribosomal RNA
Rfam family: Bacterial small subunit ribosomal RNA
Source: RNAcentral
CCUACGGGAGGCAGCAGUGAGGGAUAUUGGUCAAUGGGGGAAACCCUGAACCAGCAACGCCGCGUGAGGGAAGACGGUUUUCGGAUUGUAAACCUCUGUCCUCUGUGAAGAUAAUGACGGUAGCAGAGGAGGAAGCUCCGGCUAACUACGUGCCAGCAGCCGCGGUCAUACGUAGGGAGCGAGCGUUGUCCGGAUGUACUGGGUGUAAAGGGUGCGUAGGCGGCCCUGCAAGUAAGAAGUGAAAUCCAUGGGCUUAACCCGUGAACUGCUUUUGAAACUGCAGGACUUGAGUGGCGUAGAGGUAGGCGGAAUGCCCGGUGUAGCGGUGAAAUGCGUAGAGAUCGGGAGGAACACCAGUGGCGAAGGCGGCCUACUGGGCUUUAACUGACGCUGAAGCACGAAAGCGUGGGUAGCAAACAGGAUUAGAUACCCCAGUAGUC